GGUUAAGUUAUUAAGGGCGCAUGGUGGAUGCCUUGGCACUAGGAGCCGAUGAAGGACGGGACUAACACCGAUAUGCUUCGGGGAGCUGUAAGUAAGCUUUGAUCCGGAGAUUUCCGAAU
RNAcentral lists this ribosomal RNA (119 nucleotides) under Weissella confusa. RNAcentral's name for it is "partial 23S ribosomal RNA". It matches the Rfam family "Bacterial large subunit ribosomal RNA", at positions 1 to 119 of the family's 2925-position model. Lineage: Bacteria; Bacillati; Bacillota; Bacilli; Lactobacillales; Lactobacillaceae. RNAcentral also lists the same sequence under 1 other name. The record is from RNAcentral.